Molecule: ribosomal RNA, 309 nt
Filed under: uncultured bacterium
Lineage: Bacteria
Description: bacterial SSU rRNA
Rfam family: Bacterial small subunit ribosomal RNA
Source: RNAcentral
UAAAGAAUUUCGGUAUGGGAUGGCGAUGCGUCCGAUUAGCUGGUUGGCGGGGGUAACGGGCCCACCAAGGCGACGAUCGGUAGGGGUUCGUUGAGAGGAAGGUCCCCCACAUUGGAACUGAGACACGGUCCAAACUCCUACGGGAGGCAGCAGUGAGGAAUAUUGGUCAAUGGGCGAAAGCCUGAACCAGCCAAGUAGCGUGCAGGAUGACGGCCCUAUGGGUUGUAAACUGCUUUUAGGCGGGGGUAAAGUGGCGGACGUGUUCCGCCUUUGCAAGUACCGCCAGAAAAAGGACCGGCUAAUUCCGUG